UUUGAUUUUACUGUAUAACUUG
This 22-nucleotide non-coding RNA is filed under the name Arabidopsis thaliana (thale cress). The record is from RNAcentral. Lineage: Eukaryota; Viridiplantae; Streptophyta; Magnoliopsida; Brassicales; Brassicaceae.